Molecule: long non-coding RNA, 230 nt
Filed under: Carica papaya (papaya)
Lineage: Eukaryota; Viridiplantae; Streptophyta; Magnoliopsida; Brassicales; Caricaceae
Description: long non-coding RNA (CPAP_LNC009634)
Source: RNAcentral
AAUUGUUCAACUACUUCAUUAUCAUCAUCAUCAUCAUCAUUAUCAUGUGGUCGACCUUUUUAUUUCAUCUCUUCGAAUGAUGAAGAUGAUCCUGAAGCAUCAUCAUGAAUGCUUGUAUGCUCUCAUGAAAACCUCAUUCACACUUAUUGCAACUCCUCUAAGUAGGGUGACUCAGUUGCCAUGAAAGAAUUUUAGAGAGAGACUUUGGUCAUGGUUUUAUGAUUUCGACU